This 279-nucleotide long non-coding RNA is filed under the name Dromaius novaehollandiae (emu). Its description in RNAcentral is "lncRNA (ENSDNVG00000012714.1)". Lineage: Eukaryota; Metazoa; Chordata; Aves; Casuariiformes; Dromaiidae. The record is from RNAcentral.
GGUUGUUCCUCCGUACUCGCCGCUGCACUGCCCCAGCACCUUCUGCAGGGCUUUGGACGCUCACCACAGCUUUGGCCUGCCCAUGUGCAGUUGGGUAUCUGGUUUGGAAUGAAUGUUUUCUUCAACCUGCCACAUGCUGGAAGGGGGCCGAAGUAUGCAUACAUAUAGAAGGGGCUGUGUAACUGGAAAAUGAGAUUUGUCAAGAUUUAGUAUCUACAUGUGCGAACUGAGAUCAAAUAGAACGUUUUUAUUUACAAGGGUAAGUUGCAGUUAAAAAAU